GGAGACGCCGCCUCGCGGGACGCCCAGAGCCCCCGCCUGCCCGCAGCAGCAUUCAAGCUUCUUACUGAGGAUCCAAGAAAGCAGCCAAGUGGAAAAAGUUGGAGUGGGAUAAAAGUCGGGACUCUAUGUUCUAAACUAAUGACCAGCAUUCUACAGUUCUCGACUACCUGGAGGAAGCUAUCUCUGACAAACCUCUGGGGAAACACCAUAGCACAUGACCUUGGUGAAGGCCACAGGAGAAUUCCCAAGUGAAAAGAAGCAAGGAACAAGAUGCAACUAUGAGUCCUUGCGAAAUGGUUUUCCAGAAACCAAAAGACAAGUUUUCUACCUUCUAAACUAUUCAGAUGUUUCAUCAUACAAAACACGAAAUCAAGAUUCUUCCUAAUCACUCCCUGUUGAAGAAGCCUCUAUAUUCAAAUUUAAAAUCAGAAAUUCUCAAAAAUGUUACCACACUUUAAAAAGUAAACAGUAAACAUACUCCAAAGCAUUUGAAGUUUAAAGUGCUUUAAAAAAGAAACUGCACUUAUGAAUCACCCUUCCCUUUAUUAGUUGUUCAGUUUCAUAUUGAAGUGAGACUCAGCUAUCUGUUUUUGGUAUUUCCUCCUGAUACCUAAAAGAAAGUAUCACUUAUUUUACAUCAUUCCUACCAUGCCCUUUCAUGUUGCUGAUUUAUAAAAUGCUUUCCAAAAGUAUUUCAUUUGAUAACACAUUGUUACUUGGGUUCUGGCUUUUUUUUUCAGGUUAUAAAAACCCACCUUUUAUUUUUACCCGGCAAGUGUUGGGGGAGUCUGUAACAAAAAUAGGUCCACAUGGGGCCUCCCUGCUGGCGCAGGCUGUUGAGCACAGCGUCAUGAAGUUGUCCGCAGCCUCUGCAGUGUGGGUUCAAUCCGGCCGGCUGGGGAGAGUCUCCUGUCUCGCCCGCUGCUCCCCUCAGCAGUGUAUUUCGUCAGUCUGCCUGUUCUGUUCCCCACUUUGUCUCUGGUGAAUCUUCUCACCCUCCUGCGCCUCUGGCCUGUAUCCCUGUUCUUGUA
Long non-coding RNA from Talpa occidentalis (Iberian mole), 1031 nucleotides. RefSeq lists it as uncharacterized. Lineage: Eukaryota; Metazoa; Chordata; Mammalia; Eulipotyphla; Talpidae. The record is from RefSeq and is a predicted model, not a curated record. The transcript has 3 exons.